CCUACGGGAGGCAGCAGUGAGGAAUAUUGGUCAAUGGGCGGGAGCCUGAACCAGCCAAGUCGCGUGAGGGACGACGGUCCUAUGGAUUGUAAACCUCUUUUGUCGGGGAACAAAUGCGCCACGGGUGGGCGGAUGAGUGUACCCGAAGAAAACGCAUCGGCUAACUCCGUGCCGGCAGCCGCGGUAAUACGGAGGAUGCGAGCGUUAUCCGGAUUUAUGGGGUUAAACGGGUGCGUAGGGGGACGGUCAAGUCCGCGGUAAAAAUGCGGUGCUCAACGCCGUACAGCCGUUGAAACUGGCACUCUUGAGUGGGCGAGAAGUAUGCGGAAUGCGUGGUGUAGCGGUGAAAUGCAUAGAUAUCACGCAGAACUCCGAUUGCGAAGGCAGCAUACCGGCGCCCUACUGACGCUGAGGCACGAAAGCGUGGGUAUCGAACAGGAUUAGAUACCCUUGUAGUC
Molecule: ribosomal RNA, 458 nt
Filed under: uncultured bacterium
Lineage: Bacteria
Description: partial 16S ribosomal RNA
Rfam family: Bacterial small subunit ribosomal RNA
Source: RNAcentral